Molecule: non-coding RNA, 30 nt
Filed under: Mus musculus (house mouse)
Lineage: Eukaryota; Metazoa; Chordata; Mammalia; Rodentia; Muridae
Source: RNAcentral
UCAGCCUGUGCAUCGAGUCCUUGUCCUCAU